Molecule: ribosomal RNA, 513 nt
Filed under: uncultured Pseudomonadota bacterium
Lineage: Bacteria; Pseudomonadati; Pseudomonadota
Description: bacterial SSU rRNA
Rfam family: Bacterial small subunit ribosomal RNA
Source: RNAcentral
AGCAAUGCCGCGUGCAGGAAGAAGGCCUUCGGGUUGUAAACUGCUUUUGUACGGAACGAAACGGUCCGGGUUAAUACCCUGGGCUAAUGACGGUACCGUAAGAAUAAGCACCGGCUAACUACGUGCCAGCAGCCGCGGUAAUACGUAGGGUGCAAGCGUUAAUCGGAAAUGCUGGGCGUAAAGCGUGCGCAGGCGGUUUUGUAAGACAGGCGUGAAAUCCCCGGGCUUAACCUGGGAAUGGCGCUUGUGACUGCAAAGCUGGAGUGCGGCAGAGGGGGAUGGAAUUCCGCGUGUAGCAGUGAAAUGCGUAGAUAUGCGGAGGAACACCGAUGGCGAAGGCAAUCCCCUGGGCCUGCACUGACGCUCAUGCACGAAAGCGUGGGGAGCAAACAGGAUUAGAUACCCUGGUAGUCCACGCCCUAAACGAUGUCAACUGGUUGUUGGGUCUCUUCUGACUCAGUAACGAAGCUAACGCGUGAAGUUGACCGCCUGGGGAGUACGGCCGCAAGGUUG